Long non-coding RNA from Gymnodraco acuticeps, 686 nucleotides. RefSeq lists it as uncharacterized. The transcript has 3 exons. NCBI's taxonomy places the organism in Eukaryota, Metazoa, Chordata, Actinopteri, Perciformes, Bathydraconidae. The record is from RefSeq and is a predicted model, not a curated record.
UGCAGGAUUCAGGAGAGAAGCUGCUGAGAGAUCUUCUGGAGAGUCCAGACUGCAGACUGGAGACCCUCAGGAUCAGAGAUGAUGAGACGAUCAGAGCCAAGAUCCAGAAGACCUAUGUCCUCUCUUCCUCCUGCUGAUCACCUGCUUCCUCUCAGCCACUUCCUGUUUGUCGUCAUCACUUCCUGCCUUGAACCUGCAACCUGUGAGCUUAAUGAGUCUUCACUGUUUUAAUGAAUCACUGAAUGUAAUGGUUGAUGUUUCUCGUGUUGCUCUGCGCUCCCCUUCCUGACGCAUGGUGACUGAUGUUUUAUCUCUAAUGUGCUUUGUGCUAAAUGCUAGCUUUAGCGUGCUAAUGCAUGCUCACUGUAAUGCUGAUGUUUAGCAGGGUCACUGUUUAGUGUUUGAGAUCCUUUACUGCGGUUAAAGCUCUAAUGCUACAGGAAUGUAUGUAUUCAUACCCUCCUGUUGUCUUCGGGUCAAAUCUGACCGAUCUACUACUUUCAUCAAUCAUAACUGUUUUACAUUCGAUUGCAUUUAGGCUUCAGGACAUCCUUCACAGUAGACAUUUGAACAUGUAACAUUGCUGAUCACACUUUCAUUGAAUUGUGGAUGAUUUAGUCAACUUCGUAACACCCAUGGUGUUCCCGGGCAAACAUGACCGCCAUGAAGAAAAGGAAUUAGUAACC